Penaeus monodon (black tiger shrimp) is the source of this 179-nucleotide long non-coding RNA. RefSeq lists it as uncharacterized. NCBI's taxonomy places the organism in Eukaryota, Metazoa, Arthropoda, Malacostraca, Decapoda, Penaeidae. The transcript is spliced from 3 exons. The record is from RefSeq and is a predicted model, not a curated record.
CAUAAAUGGGACCUUCUGUGAUACUGUUCAUUCUGCCUAUGGCGAACAGUGUCUAUCAUCAUAUUCAGAGACUAUUACCUCGGAAACUUCCAUCUCAUCACCAAGCUCACCAGAUUUACCCUCAGAAGUAAAAUUUACCAAGGUCAUUGAGGCCCCAGAAUGCUAUCUAGUAAAGGCAA